Molecule: long non-coding RNA, 1803 nt
Organism: Nematostella vectensis (starlet sea anemone)
Lineage: Eukaryota; Metazoa; Cnidaria; Anthozoa; Actiniaria; Edwardsiidae
Exons: 2
Source: RefSeq, a predicted model, not a curated record
GCGUAGCUAGGAUUUUUAAGACUUUCAAGGCAUUUUUCGCUGUAUUUUAGAAAAUGUCUCAUAUAUUUACUGUAUUUUUGGCUGCUAAAAGGGGGGGCCGGGCACCCCAGGCCACCCCCUGGCUACGCCCCUGCCAAAAGAAUUCUGCUUUAUCGUUUAUUUGUUUUUGGCUUCAAAAUAGUUAAAACCGGAAAUACAGUUUAAUUUAAUUUCCGGUAAUCUAGCCCAGUCCCUUCUCUUGAAACUUUAGGAGCGUGAGAGCUAGAGGACUGAAACCGACAAAGUCCGCCAUUUUUAGCUAAACAACAAGGAAGGAGCAUGUUUGUCGGAUUUACUGGGCGCUUGUUCGCCAAUUAUCAGCAGUUUGGGCUUGCACAGUCCCUGUUAAUGAUAAGGACUUAUCGGAUACGGUCUGCGUUGAAGCUAAAGUGCGCUGGCUGUAAGUUUGUGAAGAGGAAAGGCAAGUUAAGAGUCGUGUGCAAGAAUAAGGGGACACACAAACAAAAGCAAUCUUAGUAAAACAUCAAAGAGAAUAUAACGGAGAUAAAUGUUGACCUUUCUGGCUCCUGAAAGUACCAUAUCUUGGCACUGUCGUGAUUAUUUGACCAAGAAGUUUAUCUAUACUCAGUACCCUACCUGUGAUUAAGAAUAUCACUGCAGGAGCCACAAGAGCUACAAGUACCACAACAAUAUCUUGGCACUUGUUGAAGAGGUGGUUAUGUGACCAGGAAAGUUAUCUGUAUACUUGAACUCAACUUUCUACUUGCCAUAGACUAUGCCACAAAACAGUCUACUUUAUCUACAAAAUGUAGAUAUAUGCAAGCAUCAAGUUGAGACCUUUUUUGAAAAUGAUGUUUUUGUUGCUUUUCUGAUGUUUUCUUUCUUGACAUUUUUCAAGUGGUAAUGACAUCAGAACACUGUUGUAACAUUGCAACAUUUUUUUCUCACUCGCCAAAGUUUAUUUCAUAUGUUUGAUCAUUUAUCUAAUAAUUCAGGGCUUAAAAUCUUUUUUUCAAAUCUGCUGGAUUUUGCUGGCUUUGAGGAUUUUGUUGGAAAAAAAAGCCUGCAUACUAAAAAUAUGAGAAGGGGAUACAGACAAAAAUUUAGGGCUUAAAAUCUUUUUUAAAUCUGCUAGAUUUUGCUGGCUUUUAGGAUUUUGUUUUUAAAAAAAAGCCUGCAUACUAAAAAUAUGGGAAGGGGAUACAGAAAAAAAGAGCUAGCAAAGACAAGAAAAACAGCUGGCUAUCGCCGGCAGCUGGCCGAUUUUUUUAACCCUGCCAUUAACAAAUUAUGCUGAAUCACUCAAAGCAUCUAUUUCUGUCAGCUAACAUUCAAGUGACAAGUAACACAUACAUCAAAAGUAGAUGUAUAAUUGAAUGAACUCUGGGUUCUCUUAGUGACACGCCAUGAGGUGAGGGGUACUUAGCCUCUGUUGGCGGGUUUCGGUGACCUUGACCCUGUUUAGGAAAAAAAAAUCUGAAAAAUACAACACCCCGAAUUUUCAUCAAAAUAUGUAAAUAAAAAAGCCUUUUUCCAAAAUCACUCGAGACGUCUGCAGAGGAGGUUAAGGGGGGGAACAACCACACACCUACUGGUCAUUACCUUAUAAUUUUUUAGAAUAUUGGGGGGGGGGGCACAUGCUCUCAGUGGCUUACCCCUUGCUGCGGCCCUGUUAUAGCAAAUAAGUCUUGAAUAGCAAAUAACUAGUAAUCUUUACUGUGACUUCAGCAUCAUUAUAUACAUGUGUAUUCAAACAACUAAUCUUAUCCAAUAAAUAAGAAUAAACAAUCAACAAAUAAUUGA